CAGCCGCCACGGUAAUACGAAGGGGGCUAGCGUUGUUCGGAAUUACUGGGCGUAAAGCGCACGUAGGCGGAUAUUUAAGUCAGGGGUGGAAUCCCAGAGCUCAACUCCGGAACUGCCUUUGAUACUGGGUAUCUUGAGUAUGGAAGAGGUGAGUGGAAUUCCGAGUGUAGAGGUGAAAUUCGUAGAUAUUCGGAGGAACACCAGUGGCGAAGGCGGCUCACUGGUCCAUUACUGACGCUGAGGUGCGAAAGCGUGGGGAGCAAACAGGAUUAGAUACCCCGGUAGUCCCUGUCUCUUAUAC
Molecule: ribosomal RNA, 301 nt
Filed under: uncultured bacterium
Lineage: Bacteria
Description: partial 16S ribosomal RNA
Rfam family: Bacterial small subunit ribosomal RNA
Source: RNAcentral